Molecule: ribosomal RNA, 375 nt
Filed under: uncultured bacterium
Lineage: Bacteria
Description: bacterial SSU rRNA
Rfam family: Bacterial small subunit ribosomal RNA
Source: RNAcentral
UACGAAGGGGGCUAGCGUUGCUCGGAAUGACUGGGCGUAAAGGGCGCGUAGGCGGUUUGAUCAGUUAGGUGUGAAAUUCCUGGGCUUAACCUGGGGGCUGCACUUAAUACGGUCAGACUAGAGUGUGGAAGAGGGUCGUGGAAUUCCCAGUGUAGAGGUGAAAUUCGUAGAUAUUGGGAAGAACACCGGUGGCGAAGGCGGCGACCUGGUCCAUUACUGACGCUGAGGCGCGAAAGCGUGGGGAGCAAACAGGAUUAGAUACCCUGGUAGUCCACGCUGUAAACGAUGUGUGCUGGAUGUUGGGUGGCCUAGCCAUUCAGUGUCGUAGCUAACGCGAUAAGCACACCGCCUGGGGAGUACGGCCGCAAGGUUGAA